GUUCAUUUUCAUCGUGGCGAUCGCUGGAAGAAGACAACGAGACUUCGUCGAACACGGACGAGCGGGCCUGACCCUUCGCUGCCUGUGGAGUACAUGCGACCUGCGAGCGUCACCUGGUGCAGGCAUAUUUGAUUUGUCACUGUGGUCAACUAGAAUGAUACAACUAUGAACAUAUUUUGAAAGCAUUUCGAGUAUGAAUCACUCAGAUUUCGCAAACAUUAAUAGCUCCAUUUUAUCGUAUAAACAUUUUAAGACUUAAGAAUAAAUGCUCUUCAAAGAGGACUAAUAAGUUUGAUAAA
Molecule: long non-coding RNA, 299 nt
Organism: Ctenocephalides felis (cat flea)
Lineage: Eukaryota; Metazoa; Arthropoda; Insecta; Siphonaptera; Pulicidae
Exons: 3
Source: RefSeq, a predicted model, not a curated record